UACAGAGGUCCCAAGCGUUGUUCGGAUUCACUGGGCGUAAAGGGUGCGUAGGCGGUGAGGUAAGUCGGAUGUGAAAGCUCGGAGCUCAACUCCGAAAUGGCAUUGGAAACUACCUUGCUAGAGGGUUGGAGAGGGGACUGGAAUGCUUGGUGUAGCAGUGAAAUGCGUAGAUAUCAAGCGGAACACCAGUGGCGAAGGCGAGUCCCUGGACAACUCCUGACACUGAGGCACGAAAGCUAGGGGAGCAAACAGG
RNAcentral lists this ribosomal RNA (253 nucleotides) under uncultured bacterium. Its description in RNAcentral is "partial 16S ribosomal RNA". It matches the Rfam family "Bacterial small subunit ribosomal RNA", at positions 524 to 776 of the family's 1533-position model. The record is from RNAcentral.